UACCAGCACCCCGAGUGGUCGGGACGAUUAUUGGGCCUAAAGCAUCCGUAGCCGGUCAUGCAAGUCUUCCGUUAAAUCCAGCCGCUCAACGGUUGGGCUGCGGAGGAUACUACGUGGCUAGGGGGCGGGAGAGGCAAGCGGUACUCAGUGGGUAGGGGUAAAAUCCUUUGAUCCAUUGAAGACCACCAGUGGCGAAGGCGGCUUGCCAGAACGCGCUCGACGGUGAGGGAUGAAAGCUGGGGGAGCAAACCGG
This 253-nucleotide ribosomal RNA is filed under the name uncultured bacterium. RNAcentral describes it as "partial 16S ribosomal RNA". It matches the Rfam family "Archaeal small subunit ribosomal RNA", at positions 474 to 727 of the family's 1478-position model. The record is from RNAcentral.